GCCACGGGUUUUGCACCUCCAGCCCCGGCUUGCAACCUGGCGCACACGCUGGGGCGCAGGGCGCGGGCGCACGGGGGCGCGGGGUUUGCUGCUGCCUGGCCUGUCCCGGGCUCUGCACAUCUUGGCUGGCGGUGGCGGCUCCGGGGCAGAGAGCGCGGGAGGGGCCGAGGACUCCGGCGGGUCGUUGCGCUGCCUCCUCGGACACGCGCCCCUAACUCGGGGGCGGGGCUCACAGGGCACCCAUCACCCUGAUAGAAAGGGCCAAUGCCUGGAAGCCUCGGCGCCCGGGGAGUGGGCCCUCCUCCUCCCGCGGCCUCCCCACCGGCCCCAAACCUGACAAGCCCUUUUCUCCUCCCGGGAAGAUGUUCCUGGAGCUCCAUCUGGCGGCAAGAAACAAUUCAAGGAUGAGACAAGCUGUAUAAGAUUGUUUCUGGUCUUGGAGACAGCUCAGGAGGACAGAAAAGAAGGAAAAGGGCCAGGGUCUGUGGUGCAGACCUGUCUCCCUUUUUGUGACCAGCACAACUCGGGACUAAGUGACUCUGUCUUUGCUCCUGGUGAUGGGUGGCCAGGGGGUACCUGGGGCCCCGGAUGGACAUGCACCCAGCUUCCCUGCGGUCGGAGAGGCUAUUCCCACAGGCCCACUGGGAUGGAGACCACCCACGGAGGGCCCCAGGAAGCUGUGCCGCCACGGCCCUCCCAGCCUGCACCCUGAGGCCCCGGCUCUCUCCCUGGAUCCCUGUGGCAUUUGGUGAGUGGCCACCACAUGCCAGGCCCUGGUUUGGGUCCCAGUCCAUGGCCUGGAGGCCAGGCUGCCUCCUGCUCCCCCACCCCACAGCAGUGCUUACCUCAGCAUUUCAAGAACAUGUGUGCAUAGAUGAUGUUUGUAUAUUUGAGGCAUUUAAAAAUCCAUAAUU
Choloepus didactylus (southern two-toed sloth) is the source of this 914-nucleotide long non-coding RNA. RefSeq lists it as uncharacterized. NCBI's taxonomy places the organism in Eukaryota, Metazoa, Chordata, Mammalia, Pilosa, Megalonychidae. The record is from RefSeq and is a predicted model, not a curated record. The transcript is spliced from 3 exons.